RNAcentral lists this ribosomal RNA (497 nucleotides) under uncultured bacterium. RNAcentral's name for it is "partial 16S ribosomal RNA". It matches the Rfam family "Bacterial small subunit ribosomal RNA", at positions 28 to 507 of the family's 1533-position model. The record is from RNAcentral.
GAUGAACGCUGGCGGCGUGCCUAAUACAUGCAAGUCGAGCGAACGGACGAGAAGCUUGCUUCUCUGAUGUUAGCGGCGCACGGGUGAGUAACACGUGGAUAACCUACCUAUAAGACUGGGAUAACUUCGGGAAACCGUAGCUAAUACCGGAUAAUAUUUUGAACCGCAUGGUUCAAAAGUGAAAGACGGUCUUGCUGUCACUUAUCGAUGGAUCCGCGCUGCAUUAGCUAGUUGGUAAGGUAACGGCCUACCAAGGCAACGAGGCAUAACCGACCUGAUAGACGGAUCGGCCACCUUGGAGCGGGACCGGGCACCAGGCUCCUGCGGGACGGAGCAGUAGGCAACCGGCCGCAGUGGGCGAGAGCCUGACAGAGCAACCCGGAGUGAGAGAUGACGGCCUCCGGAUCGUAAAACUCUGUUAUUAGGGAAAAACCUAUUUGUAAGUAGAUGUGCACAGCUUGACGGUAACUAAUCAGAAAGCCACGGCUAACUACGUG